RNAcentral lists this long non-coding RNA (510 nucleotides) under Vulpes vulpes (red fox). RNAcentral describes it as "lncRNA (ENSVVUG00000002517.1)". The record is from RNAcentral. Lineage: Eukaryota; Metazoa; Chordata; Mammalia; Carnivora; Canidae.
ACAGCGAUAAAUUAUGCAACAGGAGGAAAACGGAGAAGGCCCUGAUGCCACCGGUAACGCAGCCUCUAGGAAUUUAACGGUGCUGUUGAAUCAGUCGUUUUCUCAAAUCGUGGGAGAUGACAUUUGUUCCUGUGACAAAAAUUUCGACCCAAUACAGUAAGCUGUUUAACUUUGUAAGAUGCAAAGGGAUUGGAUCAAGUUUAAAUGACUGUGCUGCCCCUUUUUACAUCAAAGAACUGAGAACUACUGACAACGAAGGCGCCUCCCUUUCCCAUCUGCCUGUCAGACUGUCAAGGAAGGAAAAUAACUUGCAUGUUGGUGAAGGAAGAAGCUGGGUGGGAGGACAGUGAGAUCUAGAGUAAAAACCAAGCUGGCCCAAGGUGUCCUGCAGGCUGUUAAAAUGCAGUUUAAUCAGAGUGCCAUUUUUGGUUCAAGUGAUUUUAAUUAUUGGAAUGCACAAUUUUUUGAAUAUGCAAAUAAAGUUUUUAAACCUGAAAAAAAAUGAAAGCA